This 463-nucleotide long non-coding RNA is filed under the name Brassica rapa (field mustard). RNAcentral describes it as "long non-coding RNA (BRAP_LNC003093)". The record is from RNAcentral. Lineage: Eukaryota; Viridiplantae; Streptophyta; Magnoliopsida; Brassicales; Brassicaceae.
AUCUAUACUAUACUAAAAGGGGGAUAUAAGCCAUGAAGAGGGUGUCCACAUAGGAUAGAAAAAUCAACCAAUCAGAGAACCCGAAAUUGCCAUGUCAUCUCAUUUAUUUUUCGUAAAAAAUAAAAAAAAAAUGCGAAGGUGAGAAUCGAACCCGGGUUGGUAUGAUAUAUAUAUAGGACAGUUACCACUAAGCCAUUGACACUUUCUUGGACACAUAUACAAGAACCACUAAGUAUAUAAUCACAAACUUUUAUGUACAUUUACAAUAAUAUGAAUUCAACUUUCAAGACUCCGAUACUUUGUUUUGUAAAAAAAAAAUAAGUAAAUGACUAAGUUAAUAUAUUCUUAGAAAGUGUGAGAACGUUGACAAAUAUGAAAAAGCAUAGAUUUUUGUUUUCGUGACAAAGUUAAGAAUUUUGUAAAAUAAGUUUAACAUAUAAAUUUUCGUGACAAAUAUGAAAAA